RNAcentral lists this ribosomal RNA (426 nucleotides) under uncultured bacterium. RNAcentral's name for it is "partial 16S ribosomal RNA". It matches the Rfam family "Bacterial small subunit ribosomal RNA", at positions 354 to 796 of the family's 1533-position model. The record is from RNAcentral.
GUGAGGAAUAUUGCACAAUAGGCGCAAGCCUGAUGCAGCAACGCCGCGUGGACGAUGAAGGCCUUCGGGUUGUAAAGUCCUUUUCUGGGGGAAGACAUGGACGGUACCCCAGGAAUAAGUGUCGGCUAACUACGUGCCAGCAGCCGCGGUAAAACGUAGGACGCGAGCGUUAUCCGGAUUUACUGGGCGUAAAGCGCGUGCAGGCGGUCUGUUAAGUCGUGCGUGAAAGCUCCCUGGCUCAACCGGGAGAGGUCGUACGAAACUGGCAGGCUUGAGGGCAGCAGAGGAGUGUGGAAUUCCGGGUGUAGUGGUGAAAUGCGUAGAUAUCCGGAGGAACACCAGUGGCGAAGGCGACACUCUGGGCUGUACCUGACGCUAAGACGCGAAAGCAUGGGGAGCAAACAGGAUUAGAAACCCCUGUAGUCC